CUGGAUGACUGACAGCUGUCCUUCAUGACAACAGAAGACACAGAAAUCCUCCUCAUCAGAAACAUGACUUUGGUCUCCGUCCUCAUCUGGACUCUCCUCUGCUUCACUCAGGGGUCUGUUGGACAAAAUGUUGUUGUGACUCAGUCAGCAGCCAAAUCAGUGCAGCUUGGUCAAACUGUCACUGUUGAUUGCAAGGCCAGUUCACAAGUUGGAUCAUGCUGUUCCCCAACAAAAUACUUCCUGUCCUGGUACCAUCAGAAAACUGGAGAAGUUCCUAAACUUUUGAUCUACUACAUAUCAGACAGAUUUUCAGGAAUCUCCUCCAGAUUCAGUGGAAGUGGAGCAGGGAAUGGAGUUGACUUCACUCUGACCAUCAGUGGAGUCCAGGCUGAAGAUGCAGGAGUUUACUACUGUCAGAGUGCACAUUACGUCAACAGCCAAUGGGUGUUCACACAGUGAAAAAGCAUCGUACAAAAACCUCCCUCUGUCAGGUUGAACAGAAACUGAACUGACUGCU
Seriola aureovittata is the source of this 517-nucleotide non-coding RNA. NCBI's taxonomy places the organism in Eukaryota, Metazoa, Chordata, Actinopteri, Carangiformes, Carangidae. The record is from the annotation of a RefSeq genome assembly.